AUGCUGAAAUCACUGAAGGUGCUUCAGAACUGGCUAAAUGUUCUUAAAAUAGUCAAAUGUCAUCCACACUCACUAGCUACAAAGCUGCAAUAUAAAGCGAAAAGAAACCAAAUGAUAAAGAAAACAUGUACAGCACUAGAGGUAUCAUCAGUCCUGUCCAACGGAGCCAGUGCUUAUAACACUUUCUGUGGAAGUACGAAGAUCUUGAAAUAAUUCACCUACCCUACCCCACCCCACCCAGGAAUAAGCGAUUGUACAGUGCAAGCCACCUAAAGGAACACUGUGAACUGCCCUGUGUGAUGAAUGAAAAAAUUCAUAAUGCAGUAUUCAGCUUUGGCUCACAGAAUGAAUGUACAUCCUUCUGCCCAUUAACACAAAGUGUAAGAAAAAUUUCUGAUGUGGGGGAUAGCUUUCGUCAGAAGAAAUAAGUGUCAGUGUUCUCUAACUUUGCCUUGGAGGAGGGGAUCUCGAACUACACCUUCCUAGAGUCUGUUCAAACCAGUAGAAUCAGUGGUAUGUGAAGUUGGGCUUGGGUGAAAACAUCUAGAUUAAACAGGGAAUGCAAGUGUCUACUCCAGGAUUACUGAAGGACAGGGACACUGUUCAUGCAGAUGAUCCCAUUCCUACCCUGAAAUAAUCCUAGCUCUUUCUUUAGACAGGGCUCUUGACUGUGGGUGAUUCUAACCCCUCAGGGACACUAGCUAAUCUCUGGAGAUAUUUCUAAUUGUUACAGUGGGCAGGGGAUGUUACUGGCAUCUAAUGCAUAGAGGCCAGGGCUUCCCAGGUGGUGCUAGUGGUAAACAACCCACCUGCCAAUGCAGGAGACAUAAGAGAUGUGGGUUCAAUCCCUAGGUUAGGAAGAUUCUUGGGAGGAGGGCAUGACAACUCACUCCAGUAUUCUUGCCUGGAGAAUCCCAGGGACAGAGGAGCCUGGUGGGCUACAGUCCAAAGAACUGUGGAAGAGUCAGACACCACUGAGCGACUUUGCAUGCAUGCAUGUGAUGCAAAGAGGCCAGGGAUGCUGCUAAUCAUCUGCAAUACAAAGAACAGCCCCUCACAACAAAGGUGUCCACGCUGCUAUUGUUGGGAAACCCUGCUUUAAAGCAGAUCUAGUAUUGGUCUGGAUCAGAUUUGGGGGUUUCCAACUCGUUAUAGGAUCACUCCUUAAUAGUGAAGGAUAUUUUGUGAUGGAUACUACUCUAAAUAGAGAGGUGGACCAUAAAGAGCGCUGAGCACUGAAGAAUUAAUGCUUUUGAAUUGUGGUGCUGAAAAAGACUCUUGAGAGUCCCUUGUACUGCAAGGAGAUCAAACCAGUCCAUCCUAAAGGAAAUCAGUCCUG
Molecule: long non-coding RNA, 1339 nt
Filed under: Cervus hanglu yarkandensis (Yarkand deer)
Lineage: Eukaryota; Metazoa; Chordata; Mammalia; Artiodactyla; Cervidae
Description: lncRNA (ENSCHYG00000025401.1)
Source: RNAcentral